CGCUGCGCCGCGCCUUGCUCGCUCUCGCUUUCCCCCGCUCGGCAGUCUGACUCGAUGGCCUCAAGAGAUCCCAAGCUGCGCUUUAACUGCGCACAGCGGGCAAGGUUGCGCCGAUCCGGGGCCGCUUGGCACUACUGUGCCUUCCUGGCGACUGCUCGGCACAUAUGCAUGCCCAGUUCCACCACGUGCCGGACGGCGGAGCUUGCAGAGAAGCCUCUACACACGGGAGCGCGGGCUCAGAGCUCACUCAAAGCGCACGCAAAGCCUCAGAUACCGAUCUAGGUAUCGCUCAGCAGUAGCGAACGUUCGACGCCGCUGUAGUCGCUACAGCGCUUUGCAAUAACGGUGGUGCUGCAUAAUGGUUAGAGUGUGGGACUAGGACCCCGAGACACCAAGAUUCCAAUCCCCACACUCUGCCAUGAAGUUUUGGGUGUAGCAUUGGGAACCAGGCACUUCCUCUCAGCCUUACCUCACAGGGCUGUUGUGGGAAUUAAAUGAGGAGGAGACUUAUAUGUGCUGCUUGGAAAAACCUAAGGUCGGAUAUAAAUGCUCUAGCCAUCCAACUGACAGCAACAUCUGCAGUGUUGAUCACUCCACACACUGGGGUGUUCCAGCAAAUUGGGGGAAGGCUUGCAACUUGUAGGGUGUUUCCAGGUGGCUGCUUAUUGUGGGGUGGCUGCUCCAAUGGCAGGCCUUCCUUAAAAACCUCCUAUUGAGUUUUUGUUACAUGCAAAAGCAUAUCAACACUGAAAUAAAGCAGGUAAGCAAUGAAGAGAAAGGAAAAAGGCAACACAGUGAAAUAGCAACAGCAAAUCAGCCUUCCUAACAAGCCUGGCAAAUCUGGAACUACACUGAGUGAGUGAGUGAGUAAGUGAAUGUAUUUCUAUGGGUUCGUACACAUUUCUGCUUGUCCCGCUCCUCUCCUUGGGAAAAGGAUUCACUGCUGAAAUGGAGCAAAUAUCAGUUGGUUUUUCUGCAGGUUGACGUUAGUUCCAAUACAGUGGUAAAGAGCGAGUUUUCCUGGAGAAAGUGGUUGGGGCAGGUAGAAUACCUCUCAGACCUGUGCACCAGUGGAAGUGUGAGCAAGCUCAGAAUUUCUUUCCAUUCAAAUGAAUUCCCAAAGCAGCUUACAGACCACAAGUACCGUGUAUUUCGGGUCUACUGGCCGCAAUAAAGUUCUUUUUGUGUGUGACAAUAAAUAGCAAGAACAUAAUGGAACAUUAAAGGUACAACAUAAGUCGUAUAAAUUAACACAUCAUCAGUGAAACAAUUGCAAUCUAUAAAACGCUAUUAAUAAACCAGCAACUAAAAAAUAAGCUGAACACCACAGCUACAGCAUAGGGCAUAUUAUAUGACUCCCCGUACUAGAUAAUCUGAUAAUGCUGAUGCUCCUGACUUAGACCUUGCUACAUUAACCCCUGUGCAAGUGUGCUCAUUCUCUGUGCCUAUUUUAUAGUUUGUUUUCCUCUUUUUUUCAAUUUCCACCUGCAGUUACAAUUGUUUUCUCUGUUCUAUAUACAGUCGUACCUUGGAAUCUGUUCCGGAAGUCCAUUCGACUUCCAAAAUGUUCGAAAACCAAAUCUUGGCUUCUCAUUGGCUGCAGAAAGCUCCUGCAGCCAAUCAGAAGCCGCGGAAGCCCCGUCAGACGUUCAGGUUUCAAAAGAGCGUUCGCAAACUGGAACAAUCACUUCCGGGUUUGCGGCGUUUGGGAGCCAAAACGUCUGACUUCCAGGGCGUUCGUGAUCCAAGGUACGACUGUACUUUAUAAAAUGAAAAUAAAUACUUUGAAAGGAAAAAUUAGACACAACAGCAAACCAGCAUACCCCCCAAAAAUCAUAUUUCCCCGAUUAUCAAAUGGUAUUGAAAUACGACAAUAAAGAUUGAGAAGCCAGAGGGAUUAAUAUAUUCAAAGAAAGGAAACAAAUCUGCAAUGGGAUUCUCAGGUUGAGCCACAUCCCCAGACCAUCCACCUGCAUGCCUUAUUUAUUUAUUUAUUUAUUUAUUUUGCAGCAGCCGUGCUUUGUCUGACUUCUAUAACACUGGAACUCAUGGGCAUCCAAUGAAACUGAAUGUGGGAAGAUUUAGGACAGAUACAUUUCUCCUUCACGCAAUGUGUAGUUAAAUUAUGCAACUCCCUCCCACAGGAAGCGGUGAUGGCCUCUAAUUCGGAUGGCUUUACAAGAGGAUUAGACAAAUUCAUGGAGGAGGAGAGGGAUGUGGAUGGCUACUAGCCAUGAUGGCUAUGCUCUGACCUCCAUUGUUGGAGGCUGCAAGGCUUUUGAGCACCAGUUGCUGGAAACUGAAGGAGGGGAGAGUUGCAAUGGCACUCGGAUCCUGUUUUCCCACAGGCAUCUGGUUGGCCACUGUGAGAACCACUGGCCUGGUAUAGCAGGCUCUUCUCACUUAUUCUCUUGUGUCCAAGGCUUGCUCAUAGGCUUCCCAUUGGAGAAGCUGGUCGGCUGCUGUGAGAACAGGUUACACCAUGGGUAGACAAACUAAGGCCCGGGGGCUGGAUCCGACCCAAUCACCUUCUAAAUCCGGCCCGCGGAUGGUCCGAGAAUCAGCGUGUUUUUACAUGAGUAGAAUGUGUGCUUUUAUUUGAAAGGCAUUUCUGGGUUAUUUGUGGGGCAUAGGAAUUUGUUCAUCCCCCCCCCCCCAAAAAAAAAUAUAGUCUGCCCUCCUCAAGGUCUGAGGGACAGUGGACAGGCCCCCUGGACAGUGGACGUUUGCUGACCCCUGGGUUACACUAGUGGCAGGAUCCAGCAGGCUCUUAUAUAUCACUGGCAUCAAAAUGCCAAGCUGCAUCUCCCAAUACCCCUCUUUAAAUCUAGAUUAAAUAUCUGCUAGGUGGAAACCAGUUACCCAGAUUUAAAUAUCUGUUAGUUAAGUGGAAACCAGUUACCCAGAGUAGUAGUGAUAUAAUAAUAAUAAUAAUAAUAAUAAUAAUAAUAAUAAUAAUAAUAAUAUAUUACUUAUACCCCAUCUACCUGGCCGGGCCUCCCCAGCCACUCUGGGUGGCUUCCAACAGGAUAUUAAAAACACAAUAAAACAUCAAACAUUAAAAACUUCCCUAAACAGGGCUGCCUUCAGAUGUCUUCUAAAAGUCAGAUAGUUGUUUAUUUCCUUGACAUCUGGUGGAAGGUCGUUCCACAGGGCGGGCACCACUACUGAGAAGGCCCUCUGCCUGGUAUCAAACAUGUUUCCUCCAGGCCAGUGUAAAUAAAAUAUAUCCUUUUUUAUUACUAAGGAGCUGUUUUAUGAAGCUUGUGAGGCCGGUUUGAGUCCAGGGAGUGUCCUGUCUUGUGCUCUUGGUACAAAAUUCCCUCCUCUGGUUUCCGUGCAAACUGUGAAGUAGGGUGUGAUCUCCCACUACUCCUAUAGUCCAGUGGCUUUCAACCAGUGUGUUGUGGCACCCUGGUUGAAUGAUGGUCAGGGGUGCUGCGGGCAACCCUGGCCUCCAUCUCUCUUUCCUUCCCUCCCUCCUCUGAUGCCCUCUCGGGUCUCUGCCUCCCAAAGGCUUGCGCAGCUGUUUGUUGCAGCAGCCCUGGCUACAAGCUUCCCAGACGAAUGGUGCCUCUGGGGCUGGCCCGGGGGUUCUGGCUGCCAGGAGCUGAAUAAGCAAGCAAGUGGGCGAGGGAGCCCAGCCAGCCAGUCCAUCAGCCCUAAUUUUAUGGCCUAAUUUUAUAUGUUGUAUUUUUAUUUAUAUUUUCUAGGAAAAACAUGCCUACUUGGGCUCGUUGUUUAAAUUUAUUCCCACUCUGUGGGCAAAACACACAAAACCUGCUUAAGUUUAGGUCCAUUUUUUCUUUGUUUUCUUUAAAAAUAUGAGAUAUGGAAAUGGGAAUACAAAUCUAAUGAAAUAUCUCUGUGACGUUUUCUUUUUUUCAAAAUCCAGAGAACAAGCAAGUAAGAAACAUUUGCCUUUUCGAAAUCCUCCUGGUAACUCAACCAAAAUUCAUCUGCAAGGUGCGUUUAAAUGCAAGAUUUUUAACUUGGGGUGGUGCUGUGUCUCCCCCCCCCCCUUCUUUCUGUCCACAAUUAAGCUACACAUUGACUUAGGAUCCCGUCUGCUCGUGAUUAUCCUAAAGAUGACCUCUUAGCCUUUCUAUUGACUGCUGCUCGUAUGGAGAUAGCGAGAUGUUGGAAAACUUGUGAUGGGCUGAACAUUGAUUCUUGAUAUGACCGAGUAUGGUCAAUAGCAUUGGCUGAGAAACUAACAUGCUAGGUGAGAGCAGCAAAGGGCAAACACAAUCCAUAUUCCUGUUGUUAGCCGCCCUGAGCCCGGCUUCGGCUGGGGAGGGCGGGAUAUAAAUAAAUUUUUUUAUUAUUAUUAUUUAUAACAUAUGGCAAAUGUUUAUUGAAUACAUAAAUUGUUCAGACUGUGGCAUGAAUCCACCCAGGACUCAUGGAAAAUGUGGUGUUUUCUCUUAGAGUAAUCAAAUGAAACUUUAACACAUGGCAUGAUAAAAGUAUUUUUGUCGGGAC
This is a non-coding RNA of Podarcis lilfordi (Lilford's wall lizard), 4485 nucleotides long. The record is from the annotation of a GenBank genome assembly. Lineage: Eukaryota; Metazoa; Chordata; Lepidosauria; Squamata; Lacertidae.